Molecule: long non-coding RNA, 582 nt
Filed under: Populus trichocarpa (black cottonwood)
Lineage: Eukaryota; Viridiplantae; Streptophyta; Magnoliopsida; Malpighiales; Salicaceae
Description: long non-coding RNA (PTRI_LNC000617)
Source: RNAcentral
GAGGAGGGUACCAGUGCUAGUUAUAGCAUAUAGCUUUAUAGGCACUGACAACUAAUUUGUGAUAUCUAUCCAGUGCCCCUCUUACAGAAAGGACAUAUGUACAGUAUAAUUCCCACACGACGUACAGUUUAACCGGUUCUCUAAUCCGAGAAGAGAAAAUUAACAUAAGAAACCACGAACAUGUUCCCUUCCUUGUCUGUCUGACCAUUGUAGAAAAAAAAGAGAGAAAAAGAAAAGCAGAGUCCACUCUGCCGAGCAGGGUAUGGUACCACCCACAGAAUAAUAUAUAUAUAAAGAUACCCCCAUGAUUUAAUCACCUGAAGAAGAUCUUAUGAACAGGUAAGAAGAUCCAUCGCCGGAAUAAUAUAUACAACUCAAGAAUAAACUAUGGAUAAUAACAUGUAUACUCUCACGCCCUCUUGUUUGGAGUGGAGGGAACAAUAACCAUGCUUAAUCAAGUUCCUCUACCCCCUCUCAAUCCCAUCGGGUCGACCCUUUUGGCGGCACUAAGCCAGCCACCUGCUUCGUAUGCAAAUACAAGGUGAGAUGUAAAGCUAAGGGUUCCUCCGCACGUCUUGUGUU